This 484-nucleotide ribosomal RNA is filed under the name uncultured bacterium. Its description in RNAcentral is "partial 16S ribosomal RNA". It matches the Rfam family "Bacterial small subunit ribosomal RNA", at positions 30 to 507 of the family's 1533-position model. The record is from RNAcentral.
AUUGAACGCUGGCGGCAGGCCUAACACAUGCAAGUCGAGCGGAUGAAGGGAGCUUGCUCCUGGAUUCAGCGGCGGACGGGUGAGUAAUGCCUAGGAAUCUGCCUGGUAGUGGGGGAUAACGUCCGGAAACGGGCGCUAAUACCGCAUACGUCCCGAGGGAGAAAGUGGGGGAUCUUCGGACCUCACGCUAUCAGAUGAGCCUAGGUCGGAUUAGCUAGUUGGUGGGGUAAAGGCCUACCAAGGCGACGAUCCGUAACUGGUCUGAGAGGAUGAUCAGUCACACUGGAACUGAGACACGGUCCAGACUCCUACGGGAGGCAGCAGUGGGGAAUAUUGGACAAUGGGCGAAAGCCUGAUCCAGCCAUGCCGCGUGUGUGAAGAAGGUCUUCGGAUUGUAAAGCACUUUAAGUUGGGAGGAAGGGCAGUAAGUUAAUACCUUGCUGCUUUGACGUUACCAACAGAAUAAGCACCGGCUAACUUCGUG